Molecule: ribosomal RNA, 53 nt
Filed under: Trichuris trichiura (human whipworm)
Lineage: Eukaryota; Metazoa; Nematoda; Enoplea; Trichinellida; Trichuridae
Also listed under: 1 other name
Description: partial 28S ribosomal RNA
Source: RNAcentral
UGACCUCAGAUCAGACGAGGCUACCCGCCUAACUUAAUCAUAUCGUUAAGCGG